UGUGUCGAUGAGGGAGUGGCUGACUGCCAGUUAAAACAAACUCUGGGUGAUUCUGUUUCCUGUUCUGAGCUGAUUCGAUCUGCAGAAGUUAUCAGGCUAGUGAGCUUUUAAGUUUUGAUAACAUAAAUCCUAAUGAGAACCCCUUGUUCAUCGUUAGCAGUCCUUUCUAACUGGAUAAUACAUUUGCACCAGGAUAUAUCAAAGGUAUCAUAAUUAAAGAACAAGCUUAUUUUGGAUCAACCCCGCCUCCCACCUGGAUUAAUCUCGGUAAGAGCAGCUCUGGGAACUACGUGAUGUUUCUAAAGGUUUGGUUAUCUUGGAGUAAAUUUAAAAAAAA
Oryzias melastigma (Indian medaka) is the source of this 337-nucleotide long non-coding RNA. RefSeq lists it as uncharacterized. The record is from RefSeq and is a predicted model, not a curated record. The transcript has 2 exons. Lineage: Eukaryota; Metazoa; Chordata; Actinopteri; Beloniformes; Adrianichthyidae.